This 329-nucleotide unclassified non-coding RNA is filed under the name soil metagenome. RNAcentral's name for it is "partial contains 5.8S ribosomal RNA, internal transcribed spacer 2, and large subunit ribosomal RNA". The stretch from base 1 to 120 matches the Rfam family "5.8S ribosomal RNA", at positions 35 to 154 of the family's 154-position model. The record is from RNAcentral.
GAUGAAGAACGUAGUGAAAUGCGAUAAGUAAUGUGAAUUGCAGAAUUCAGUGAAUCAUCGAAUCUUUGAACGCACAUUGUGCCCCUUGGUAUUCCGAGGGGCAUGCCUGUUCGAGCGUCAUUAUAACCCCUCAAGCUCAGCUUGGUGUUGGGGCCUGCUGCACUGGCAGCCCUUAAAAUCAGUGGCGGCGCCAUCUGGCUCUAAGCGUAGUAAUUCUUCUCGCUAUGGAGUCCUGGUGGAUGCUUGCCAUCAACCCCCAAUUUUUCUAUGGUUGACCUCGGAUCAGGUAGGGAUACCCGCUGAACUUAAGCAUAUCAAUAAGCGGAGGA